GAUGAACGCUGACCGAAUGCUUAACACAUGCAAGUCUUUGGCGAAGCUGUGCUUGCACAGCCUAGCCAAGGCGGACGGGUGAGUAACGCGUAAGGAACUUGCCCUGCAGUCAGGGAUAACAGACGGAAACGACUGAUAAGACCUGGUAAAGUCAGGCGGACUCAUGUCCAGCCUGAUGAAAAGAGAUGCUGCAGGAGAGCCUUGCGUCCUAUUAGCUUGUUGGUGGGGUAACGGCCCACCAAGGCGAUGAUAGGUAGCCGGCCUGAGAGGGUGGACGGCCACAAGGGGACUGAGAUACGGCCCUUACUCCUACGGGAGGCAGCAGUGGGGAAUAUUGGACAAUGGGGGCAACCCUGAUCCAGCAAUUCUGUGUGCACGAUGAAGGUUUUCGGAUUGUAAAGUGCUUUCAGCAGGGAAGAAAAAAAUGACGGUACCUGCAGAAGAAGCGACGGCUAAAUACGUG
RNAcentral lists this ribosomal RNA (463 nucleotides) under uncultured bacterium. RNAcentral describes it as "partial 16S ribosomal RNA". It matches the Rfam family "Bacterial small subunit ribosomal RNA", at positions 28 to 507 of the family's 1533-position model. The record is from RNAcentral.